AUUGAACGCUAGCGGGAUGCCUUACACAUGCAAGUCGAACGGCAGCACGGACUUCGGUCUGGUGGCGAGUGGCGAACGGGUGAGUAAUGUAUCGGAACGUGCCCAGUAGCGGGGGAUAGCUACUCGAAAGAGUAGCUAAUACCGCAUACGCCCUACGGGGGAAAGGGGGGAUCGCAAGACCUCUCACUAUUGGAGCGGCCGAUAUCGGAUUAGCUAGUUGGUGGGGUAAAGGCCCACCAAGGCGACGAUCCGUAGCUGGUUUGAGAGGACGACCAGCCACACUGGGACUGAGACACGGCCCAGACUCCUACGGGAGGCAGCAGUGGGGAAUUUUGGGCAAUGGGGGCAACCCUGAUCCAGCCAUCCCGCGUGUGCGAUGAAGGCCUUCGGGUUGUAAAGCACUUUUGGCAGGAAAGAAAUCGCAUGGGUUAAUACCCUGUGUGGAUGACGGUACCUGCAGAAUAAGCACCGGCUAACUACGUGCCAGCCGCCGCGGUAA
This 499-nucleotide ribosomal RNA is filed under the name uncultured bacterium. RNAcentral describes it as "partial 16S ribosomal RNA". It matches the Rfam family "Bacterial small subunit ribosomal RNA", at positions 30 to 523 of the family's 1533-position model. The record is from RNAcentral.